GAUUGGGAUUUGCUUCCUGGCUCUGGAGGUUUGGAGGAAACCCAGCUCAACUGUGACUCAAUUGCCUGUUUCUUGGGCUCAUUUGGGACUGGCUGGGGCAGAAGGCGGCCUUGCUUAGCCUUUUAUCCCCAGUGUCUCACAUCGUGCCUAAUAAUAGUAAGCGCUCAACACAUCUGCCUGUUCAACUGAGUGCGAUAUGUCUCCCCUGGAGCAUCCUCUUCUGGGAGAAAGGGACUUCAGGCCUAUCAUGGUGCCUGGCACACAGAAGACAUUCAGCACAUGUUUGGAUCAAUGAAGCAACUUGUUCAAGUCACAGCUCGGAGCAAGGGGCAAAGUGACACUCCAGGCCAUGACUGUCAGCCCCGUGCUGCUUCCUCUAUGUCACCAUCUCCAUCUUCAGUCACUCAAAAUAAACGUGCUGGCGAUUGAAUGUCUAAACGUCUGCCAUAGAAGCUGAGUGGAAAGAAGCCCAAGUGGUCUUCAGGGCAUAGCCUGCUGUGGGAUGAAACCAAGAGAAGGGACUGGGAAGUUUCCAGAUGCUGAGGCUGAAGACACCUAUAAGAGGAUAUGCCUCCGUCCACUGGGAAAAAAUCUUGUUUAAACCUCUACCCCUUAGAAAAAUGUAAAAAUAAAACACGAUAUUCUUUGAGAGCAAAUCUUUCAUAACUUCCCCUACACAUCUUGUGGAUGCCAAUUUAAAAAGAAAAAUCUCGAAUGUAUGUGUGAAUUAAAAAAAAUUUGUAAAGUGUAUCUUUUUAA
Cervus elaphus (red deer) is the source of this 759-nucleotide long non-coding RNA. RefSeq lists it as uncharacterized. The transcript has 3 exons. The record is from RefSeq and is a predicted model, not a curated record. NCBI's taxonomy places the organism in Eukaryota, Metazoa, Chordata, Mammalia, Artiodactyla, Cervidae.